Molecule: non-coding RNA, 805 nt
Organism: Odocoileus virginianus texanus
Lineage: Eukaryota; Metazoa; Chordata; Mammalia; Artiodactyla; Cervidae
Source: RefSeq, a predicted model, not a curated record
GAACCACGUGGUUAGAAACGAAGGAAGGAGGCUCUCCAGAGGGGGGAUGGGUGGUCUAUGGGACAACAGAUGCCUGUUAAAGUCAUGAGGUGAGCCCCUCACCACAUGCUAGGCUCUACGGGCCCUAAGGCAAAAUCCUCUUCCGGAGGAGCCACAUCAGGGACGUAGCUGUGAAGAGGCUGAAGCCCAUCGACGAGUAUUGCCGGGCCCUUGUCCGGCUGCCGCCCCAUAUUUCACAGUGUGAUGAAGUCUUUCGGUUCUUUGAGGCCCGACCGGAGGAUGUCAACCCCCCCAAAGAGGCCUGCAGGGGAGGAUGUCAGGCAAGACAGGUGAAGGAGAGACUACGGCAGUUCCAAGAGGAAAUCAGAAGAUUCAAGAAGUUAAUGCAGAAAAGUCCCUCAUACACAAUAACUGCUGUAGAAUCAUGAAAUUUAUUGUCAUCAUCAUCACUUUCUGAAGCCCUGGGACCUCAGUCCUGUCAGCUGACCUGUCCUGCUGGAGUGAUGGGAAGAUGGCCUGGAAGGGGACAGCAUGUGCUAAGGUCCAGGGGUGUGCUGAGAGUCCUGAGCCCGCUUGUUGAAGCACAGAUUCCUAGACCCAGAUCUACCAAAUGAGCAGCUCUGGGUAUGGCACCCAGAAACACCAGCCAGCUUUGAUGGGCUCCCCAGGGGAAGAGACGCCUGCAUUGUGGUCCAGCAAAUCCCCACUUGGGCAUUUUGGUUUAUAAACAUGUGACAAAAGAGGCAACAUUUCCAGUAACGACAAAGCCAAUGGAAAAACAAAGAUUCGGGGGAAAUGUGCGUUA